RNAcentral lists this ribosomal RNA (459 nucleotides) under uncultured bacterium. RNAcentral describes it as "partial 16S ribosomal RNA". It matches the Rfam family "Bacterial small subunit ribosomal RNA", at positions 338 to 795 of the family's 1533-position model. The record is from RNAcentral.
CCUACGGGAGGCAGCAGUGAGGAAUAUUGGUCAAUGGGCGCGAGCCUGAACCAGCCAAGUCGCGUGAAGGAUGACUGCCCUACGGGUUGUAAACUUCUUUUAUAAGGGAGUAAUAUGAUUCACGAGUACCGUUUUGUAUGUACUAUAUGAAUAAGCAUCGGCUAACUCCGUGCCAGCAGCCGCGGUAAUACGGAGGAUCCGAGCGUUAUCCGGAUUUAUUGGGUUUAAAGGGUGCGUAGAGGGUAUGUUAAGUCAGUGGGAAAAUUUUGGGGCUAAACCUAAAUAUGCCAUUGAUUCUGGAAGCCUAGAGAACAGACGAGGUAGGCGGAAUACGUGAUGUAGCGGUGAAAUGCAUAGAUAUCACGUAGAACUCCGAUAGCGAAGGCAGCUUACCAGACUGCGACUGACACUGAUGCUCGAGAGUGUGGGUAGCAAACAGGAUUAGAUACCCGGGUAGUC